UACGGGGGGGGCAAGCGUUGUUCGGAAUUACUGGGCGUAAAGGGCUCGUAGGUGGCCAACUAAGUCAGACGUGAAAUCCCUCGGCUUAACCGAGGAACUGCGUCUGAUACUGGAUGGCUUGAGUUCGGGAGAGGGAUGCGGAAUUCCAGGUGUAGCGGUGAAAUGCGUAGAUAUCUGGAGGAACACCGGUGGCGAAGGCGGCAUCCUGGACCGACACUGACGCUGAGGAGCGAAAGCCAGGGGAGCAAACGGG
Molecule: ribosomal RNA, 253 nt
Filed under: uncultured bacterium
Lineage: Bacteria
Description: partial 16S ribosomal RNA
Rfam family: Bacterial small subunit ribosomal RNA
Source: RNAcentral